This is a long non-coding RNA of Oryza sativa Japonica Group (Japanese rice), 650 nucleotides long. RefSeq lists it as uncharacterized. The record is from RefSeq and is a predicted model, not a curated record. Lineage: Eukaryota; Viridiplantae; Streptophyta; Magnoliopsida; Poales; Poaceae.
ACGUUUUGCUUCUUUUCUCAUCUUAUAAAUACACCACACAACUCCAUCCCUCAUACACCAAACGCACACACAACUUAAGAAUCGAUCAAUAGAGCAUCUAUCAUUCUGCUGGACAAUAACACCCGUUUCAGUCUCGAUAGCAAGCAGUUUCAAUUGGUUGAAUUUUGCUUCAUUAAUUUGCUGUGACCAGAAUGAGUUCAUCAGACAGCAAGCCAUGUGGUGGUCUUAAGACGGAGUGGCCGGAGCUAGUUGGCCUCACCAUCGAGCAGGCCAAGGCGAAAAUCAAGGCUGACCGUCCAGACCUCCAAGUUGAGGUGCUCCCAGUAGGAACCAUCAUCCUGGGAGUGGUCGUCCCGAACCGUGUCAUCCUCUGGGUCGACACUGUGGCCGAGAUUCCCAAGAUUGGCUAAUUAGUUUUAAGCUGUGUCUAGCUAUAAGUGUAAUGAUACAAUAAUGAAAGGUCCUUGCUUUUUAUAUAUAUCUGAUGCAUGUUGUAAUGUGAUAAAUAAAGAAGGUAUAAAUAAAGAAGAUAGUAUGUGCAUGUACGUAUGACAGUUUCAUGGCCAACAUGCGCACAUGUGAGAUUGUAAUUUGUAAGAUAUAUUUUCAUGAAUCUCUCACGAUCAUUUGCAUUUAGCAUUGUCAUUUCA